RNAcentral lists this ribosomal RNA (386 nucleotides) under uncultured organism. Its description in RNAcentral is "bacterial SSU rRNA". It matches the Rfam family "Bacterial small subunit ribosomal RNA", at positions 45 to 433 of the family's 1533-position model. The record is from RNAcentral.
UGCCUUACCCAUGCAAGUCGAACGGCAGCACGGGGGCAACCCUGGUGGCGAGUGGCGAACGGGUGAGUAAUACAUCGGAACGUGCCCAGUAGUGGGGGAUAGCCCGGCGAAAGCCGGAUUAAUACCGCAUACGACCUACGGGUGAAAGCGGGGGAUCGCAAGACCUCGCGUUAUUGGAGCGGCCGAUGUCAGAUUAGGUUGUUGGUGGGGUAAAAGCCCACCAAGCCGACGAUCUGUAGCUGGUCUGAGAGGACGACCAGCCACACUGGGACUGAGACACGGCCCAGACUCCUACGGGAGGCAGCAGUGGGGAAUUUUGGACAAUGGGGGCAACCCUGAUCCAGCCAUGCCGCGUGCGGGAAGAAGGCCUUCGGGUUGUAAACCGC